RNAcentral lists this ribosomal RNA (249 nucleotides) under uncultured bacterium. RNAcentral's name for it is "partial 16S ribosomal RNA". It matches the Rfam family "Bacterial small subunit ribosomal RNA", at positions 529 to 776 of the family's 1533-position model. The record is from RNAcentral.
AGGGUGCGAGCGUUGUCCGGAAUUAUUGGGCGUAAAGAGCUCGUAGGCGGUGUGUCGCGUCGGCCGUGAAAACCUGCAGCUUAACUGUGGGCUUGCGGUCGAUACGGGCAUCACUGGAGUUCGGCAGGGGAGACUGGAAUUCCUGGUGUAGCGGUGAAAUGCGCAGAUAUCAGGAGGAACACCGGUGGCGAAGGCGGGUCUCUGGGCCGAUACUGACGCUGAGGAGCGAAAGCGUGGGGAGCGAACAGG